GAAAGAUUACCAGGUUGUCCAAAAAAGCAUCUAGAUUAUCUGCAUGAGAGAAGUUACCGUGCUCCCUUAAAAAACUGUUCUUGCUUGUGUAUAAACUAAGCAUGAUCACCAACAAACGAGUUAAUGAAGAUGAAUACUUCAACGCUGCAUCCUGUAUAAAAUAUCAGGUUUGCAAGUCACCUCUAAUCACUGGGUCUCUGUUCUAGCAUGUGCUAAACGUAAAGCAGUGUUGGGGAUUUCGCUAUGGGAAAUUACCGAUGCGAAGAAAGUAUUGUGAGAC
This 280-nucleotide unclassified non-coding RNA is filed under the name Hevea brasiliensis (rubber tree). Lineage: Eukaryota; Viridiplantae; Streptophyta; Magnoliopsida; Malpighiales; Euphorbiaceae. The record is from RNAcentral.